CUCACUUGAGCACAAUCCAAGAUGAAAGUUUCUGGGUUGUGUCCCCUUCGCUUCCUCUCACCCUCGCUCCCCCGCGGAGCCAAGGAGCCAGCAAUUGUGCAAGAGGAGACCGGCGCACAGGGCGCGUAUCACGGAGCGCAUGAGCCAGCAAGCCGAACGCCUCCAGCGCGGCCGGGACGGAGGAGCGGCUCUGGGGAAGACGCCGAGGCUGCGCCCGAGUCUGAACGAAGCUGCCUCCAGCCACAUGAAGUCAGUAGGGCUGUUCUGAGGGGCCCCGAGAUUUGAUGACUGUUUUUUAGGUUGCGGAACCUACUCCGAGAGAGCAAACACUUUGGACGAAGUGAUUCAUAUUGAUAGAUACAUUUGUUGGGAGGUGGCUUUUUUCAUUCUCAACAGAAAACAAAGAAAUAAAUUAAGUCUUCCCCUGA
Molecule: long non-coding RNA, 428 nt
Filed under: Homo sapiens (human)
Lineage: Eukaryota; Metazoa; Chordata; Mammalia; Primates; Hominidae
Description: BNC2 antisense RNA 1 (BNC2-AS1)
Source: RNAcentral